Molecule: ribosomal RNA, 492 nt
Filed under: uncultured bacterium
Lineage: Bacteria
Description: partial 16S ribosomal RNA
Rfam family: Bacterial small subunit ribosomal RNA
Source: RNAcentral
AGUGAACGCUGGCGGUAGGCCUAACACAUGCAAGUCGAACGGCAGCACAGUAAGAGCUUGCUCUUACGGGUGGCGAGUGGCGGACGGGUGAGGAAUACAUCGGAAUCUACUUUUUCGUGGGGGAUAACGUAGGGAAACUUACGCUAAUACCGCAUACGACCUCCGGGUGAAAGCAGGGGAUCUUCGGACCUUGCGCGAUUGAAUGAGCCGAUGUCGGAUUAGCUAGUGGGCGGGGUAAAGGCCCACCAAGGCGACGCUCCGUAGCUGGUCUGAGAGGAUGAUCAGCCACACUGGAACUGAGACACGGUCCAGACUCCUACGGGAGGCAGCAGUGGGGAAUAUUGGACAAUGGGCGCAAGCCUGAUCCAGCCAUACCGCGUGGGUGAAGAAGGCCUUCGGGUUGUAAAGCCCUUUUGUUGGGAAAGAAAAGCAGCAGGUUAAUACCCCGCUGUUCUGACGGUACCCAAAGAAUAAGCACCGGCUAACUUCGUG